CGCCAGACUCCUACGGGAGGCAGCAGUGAGGAAUAUUGGUCAAUGGGCGGGAGCCUGAACCAGCCAAGCCGCGUGAAGGAAGAAGGCGCCAAGCGUCGUAAACUUCUUUUGUCGGGGAACAAAGGGCGCCACGUGUGGCGUUGUGAGUGUACCCGAAGAAAAAGCAUCGGCUAACUCCGUGCCAGCAGCCGCGGUAAUACGGAGGAUGCGAGCGUUAUCCGGAUUUAUUGGGUUUAAAGGGUGCGUAGGCGGUCCGGAAAGUCAGCGGUAAAAGCCCGGGGCUCAACGUGGGAACUGCCUUUGAAACUGGCAAACUGGAGUGUGUGAGAGGAUAGUGGAAUUCCAGGUGUAGGAGUGAAAUCCGUAGAUAUCUGGAGGAACAUCAGUGGCGAAGGCGACUAUCUGGCACAUAACUGACGCUGAGGAGCGAAAGCGUGGGUAGCAAACAGGAUUAGAUACCCUUGUAAA
Molecule: ribosomal RNA, 468 nt
Filed under: uncultured bacterium
Lineage: Bacteria
Description: bacterial SSU rRNA
Rfam family: Bacterial small subunit ribosomal RNA
Source: RNAcentral